AUUGAACGCUGGCGGCAUGCCUUACACAUGCAAGUCGAACGGCAGCACGGGAGCAAUCCUGGUGGCGAGUGGCGAACGGGUGAGUAAAGUAUCGGAACGUGCCCAGCCGUGGGGGAUAACGUAGCGAAAGUUACGCUAAUACCGCAUACGAUCUAUGGCUGAAAGCGGGGGAUCGCAAGACCUCGCGCGAUUGGAGCGGCCGAUAUCAGAUUAGGUAGUUGGUGGGGUAAAGGCUUACCAAGCCGACGAUCUGUAGCCGGUCUGAGAGGACGACCACCCACACGAGGACUGAGACACGGCCCAGACUCCUACGGGAGUCAGCAGUGGGGAAUGUUGGACAAUGGGCGCAAGCCUGAUCCAGCCAUGCCGCGUGCAGGAUGAAGGCCUUCGGGUUGUAAGCUGCUUUUGUACGGAACGAAAAGGUUUGACUUAAUACGUUGGACUCAUGACGGUACCGUAAGAAUAAGCACCGGCUAACUACGUGCCAGCCGCCGCGGUAA
This 500-nucleotide ribosomal RNA is filed under the name uncultured bacterium. Its description in RNAcentral is "partial 16S ribosomal RNA". It matches the Rfam family "Bacterial small subunit ribosomal RNA", at positions 30 to 523 of the family's 1533-position model. The record is from RNAcentral.